GAUGAAGAACGUAGCGAAAUGCGAUAAGUAAUGCGAAUUGCAGAAUCCGUGAGUCAUCGAAUCUUUGAACGCACAUUGCGCCCCUUGGUUAUUCCGAAGGGCAUGCCUGUUCGAGCGUCAUUAUCACCCCUCAAGCCCUGGCUUGGUGUUGGACUUUAGUUAUAGCUUUGCCUAUCAACUGGUCUCAAAGAUAGUGACAGCGCCCCAGAGGGAACCGGGUACGAGGAGCUUUUUACUAAGCAUGUAUCUGGGACGACUCUGGGCGACGGUCUUGUUAUACUUUUUACCUAAGUGUUGACCUCGGAUCAGGUAGGAAUACCCGCUGAACUUAAGCAUAUCAAUAAGCGGAGGA
Molecule: unclassified non-coding RNA, 352 nt
Filed under: soil metagenome
Description: partial contains 5.8S ribosomal RNA, internal transcribed spacer 2, and large subunit ribosomal RNA
Rfam family: 5.8S ribosomal RNA (bases 1-120)
Source: RNAcentral